This is a long non-coding RNA of Mercenaria mercenaria, 3536 nucleotides long. RefSeq lists it as uncharacterized. The record is from RefSeq and is a predicted model, not a curated record. The transcript is spliced from 3 exons. Lineage: Eukaryota; Metazoa; Mollusca; Bivalvia; Venerida; Veneridae.
AUUUCAAUAAAAUAUUUAUAACCUAAACAAAUCGGAAGCAACUGUAUUAUUCUCACUUUGGAGAUGAGCGGAUCAAGCGAGAGACAGAUGGCUUCACCUGGUAAUGGCAACGAUUGAAGUAAUUUCUUCGAGGGAAAUAUUCCAGGAAACAGGAUCAUCAAAUUAGAAUACAGAAGCACAGAUGCACACUUUUCAUGAAUUUAUGAUUUGCAUAUCAAUUGCAGUCUUUAAAGAGUACAUUGUAUUAAUACUUACAUAUAGACAACUUCAACAUCAAAAUAGAUUAGACGCGUAUCUCCAGUGACAUAAUUGUACAAAACAAACAAACUUUACAACCAGAAGUGUUGGAGGACAGCAACGCAAAUGUGUUGAAAUUAAUUGUCACAAAAAAAUGAAUAAAUAAAUACAUUAACAUAAACAAGUAUAAAAAGCAAGCAAAAGUAAGAGAUUUGAUUCUAAACGACAUAAAAGCUGACAUACAAUUGCUAUAUCAAAAGAAAGGGCAUACCGUUGUGACAAUUCACAAAACAAUCAUACAAACAUUGCAAAGUACUGCAAGUAGUCACUGUCAAUAUGCGUGUACAAUUUUAAUUCAUUCCCUAAAGCGGUUACCAAGAUACCAAUUUACAUAUACAAACUUAACAAAAAAUUGAAAAGUCGAGAAUGUUCGAUGAUUUUUAAACGUAUUGCGAGUGUUCAAUCGACUGUCGCUGUAAGCAGGAAGACGUUUAGGUGACACUAGACAGAUGAAUGUCAAGACAAGUAAAGGAUGACAUCUUUUAGAGCAGCUUCUUUACAAUCACAUUUCGAAAUUUAUAAAACACUUGGCAAUUUUUAAGCUUUUGAUGGAGAGGAAGAUCCAAGAAGCCAUUUCGGGCAAUAUUUCAGGCACGACUGGACACCUGAGUAGAACCACCGACCUUCCUUAAGCCGACAGAUGGCUUCCUCACAUAGAAGAAUUCUAUAUGCCAGUGGAAGUCUGCGACCUUAACUACAAAUACUUAAAAUUCAAUUAUAUUAACGUUAGAUAUCAAAUGAAACUAAAAAAAUUUUUUUAAUAAAAACUGUCUGAAUACGUGUUAAAAAGAAUGGAAUCAGAUAUCCCUUUCGCCAAAAACUAUCAAACGAUGAAGACAGUAACAAGCUAGACACGCAGACACUCUGUGUUAUGAAGAUACAUGGCUGAAGAUUAGGGUGCAAGAAAUCAUUAGCCCUCCUGAGACAUCACAGAAAUAAAAACUGUCUGAAUAAAUGUUAUAAAGAAUGGAAUCAGAUAUCUCUAUUGCCCAAAACUAUCAAACGAUGAAGACAGUAACAAGCUAGACACGCUGACACUCUGUGUUAUGAAGAUACAACAAAUGUACAUGGCUGACGUUGAGGGUGCAAGAAAUCAUUAGCCCUCCUGAGAUAUCACAGAAAUAAAAACAUUACUCGAAUUUACUGAACAUUUUUGUUUUGUAUAAACUUGAAAGCGCAAUACCAAUUAAUAACACGCAAACAGACGAGUUACCCUGCUUUAGUCAGACAUGUUUUGCAACAAAAACCAUCCGAGACAUAUCAAUUGCAAUUAUAACACUUCUUAAGAAAUGUGACAAUGAACUCGCUAUUACUUGGAAGAAUGCAUUAUUGACAGAUAGAUAACAUCGCUUUGUCAAACAAACACAUCUUUGACACUUGUAUUAUUUGAAGCAUCCUCUAAAUGUAGCUCUGUUCUAGUUAUACUCCAUAGGUAAUCGAAGUUGUGAAUUCUAGUACAAGAUGGUUAAACUUCAUAGGUAAUAUAAGUUAUGAAUUCUAGCGUAAAAUGAAUACACUUAACAGGUAAUAUAGUGGUGGAUUUUUCGUUUUCAGUAACAGAGAUGUUUGAAGGGUAAUAUUAUUUUGUUAUGGCUUCUUAAGUUAACCCUUACCAUGCUGGACUUGAUUGAUUCUGCCUUUGCAACCAGUGUAGAUCAUGAUCAGCCUGCACAUCCGUGCAGUCUCAUCAUUAUCUGCACUGUUUGCUAUUCAGCCAGUAUCUUUUUGGUAAGCACCCCUUCUAAACGUAUAUUCAUCGAACGUAUGUCAUUACCUUGAUGACAAAUAGCUAUGUCAAAUGCAUGUAAUAUUUCAUGCAAUAUAUUUGAUCAUAUCAAGAUGCAUCCAUAUCCUAUUUGCUGAAGACUAUUUAUAUCGACCAAGUUCUACACGUAUAUACUAAUAUUUUCGACAAAAGGUACUUUCAUUGCCUAAUUUUUAAUUCACACUAUUUCUCGGUACAUACAAACUGUAGGAGUUAUAACAAAAACUCUGAAAAUUAGAAAACGUCAGUUUUUUCUGUUACCAAUUUUAUAACGUCCGUGAAAUGAAAAGGAAAAUACUUCUGGAAUAGUCUUUGGAACUGAUAGUUAAUAACUAUAAAACACAUUAAUAAGUCAAGAAUCUUUAAAGAUAUAUUAGAUCCGAAUUUCAUAUUUAAAAACAUGAACAAUUACUACAUAUAGUUUAAGUAAACAUAAAAUUAACAAAUUAACGUUUAUUAACAGUACUAUGCAUUAGGUUUAAAAUAGUAUACACUGUAUACAUGUAUAGAUAAACAUAGCAUAAAUGUGUACUAGUUGCCUUUAAAAAACUGGCUGUUUUAACAGUCAGUUGUUACUGCAUGACAUUAAAUUAUGAAUGUAGUUCUAUAUGCAAACUUAUUUAUAUGUUUAGUAAAUCUAAAAACAUUUAAUGAGGGUUUUAUAUGUUUGAAGUAAAUAUCUAAAGAUAAAAUAUUUUAUUGAAAGAUGGCCGCCGGACACCUCUAAUAAACUAGCAUCUGUUCAUACUACCAUUGCCUUUAUGCUUGGUGUAAGUAUGUUACGUUUAAUUAGACCCACCUAUAACCUAUAUCAGGCGGUGUCAAUCUAUCCAAGUACAUGGUACCUAUAAAAUUCCAUUCAAGUAUUUCCUAGUUGAAUAUGAUUAGCAACGACGGCGUGCUUGUAUGAGUGAAAAGGUCGAGAAUGUCUGUGUUAUCCAUACCUGCAUCAAUUAUCCAGACGAAAGCCAGACAAUUUUAAAAUAACAUACAUGAAUUCGUUGUCUGUUCAGGCCAAUAGCAGUUAAAUCUUUUGGCAUAAGAUUGCAUCUGCUUCCCGCCGUUUAAAGUUGUAUAUAUUUUACUAAACAAUUUGUAAAGGAAGCGUUUGCAAUACAAUUCUUUAAUCAAUUAAACCUUGCCUGGGCAGGCAUUCCAGAUAGAAAUUAUUAAAUAGAACGAAAUUCGUGAUGCGUAAUUUUCCUCAGUACAUUUGAAAAGUCAUGCUUCCUCCAGAAAAUAAACUUUCAGAAAUAUCAAAACCUGAAAUUAUGUAAGUUAUCAAAUGAUUCAAAUAAACCUACGUCGACGUGUACAAUCAUAAACAUCUGGUUGAAAUAGCAGUAUGAAUUAAAUACACAUAUAUUAUGAAUACACAAAGUCAUAUAUUUUAUUAAAUCUUUAUGUUUCUUAUGUAACACGUAUGGUUAUUAGAUAUUUGGAAAUAAAGAAAGUAAUAUGGGAUAUACAACAG